CAGCGCGAAAGCCCCAGCGAACGCGUGGUGGGUCCGGGAAAGCCCUCGGGCGGCCCCGGCAGCUCUGUUUUCGGACGGAGGAAGACCAAAAUUGCCGUUUUCACGGUGCGUAGUGCGGCUCGGCGGGCUUCUGGUGCGUGUCUCCGCUGAACAAGCAGGGGCGCGUGCCGGGGGUUGCCCCGCGUCGGCGUGUGUGGCGCAUGGGUAAGAUUGCUAGCCCUCGUUCGGCGGGCCAACGUGCGUCAUAUGCUCUGGAGCGGCGGCAUGCUUUGCUGUGCUGCGUACCUGGAGGGCGGCAGCCAACCAGCACGAUGAACAUACGAACAUACCCAAAAGAUA
This 339-nucleotide unclassified non-coding RNA is filed under the name soil metagenome. RNAcentral describes it as "partial internal transcribed spacer 1". The record is from RNAcentral.